GACGAACGCUGGCGGCGUGCUUAACACAUGCAAGUCGAACGGAAAGGCCCUGCUUUUGUGGGGUGCUCGAGUGGCGAACGGGUGAGUAACACGUGAGUAACCUGCCCUUGACUUUGGGAUAACUUCAGGAAACUGGGGCUAAUACCGGAUAGGAGCUCCUGCUGCAUGGUGGGGGUUGGAAAGUUUCGGCGGUUGGGGAUGGACUCGCGGCUUAUCAGCUUGUUGGUGGGGUAGUGGCUUACCAAGGCUUUGACGGGUAGCCGGCCUGAGAGGGUGACCGGCGACAUUGGGACUGAGAGACGGCGCAGACGCCUACGGGAGGCAGCAGGGGGGAAUAUUGCACAAUGGGCGGAAGCCUGAUGCAGCAACGCCGCGGGCGGGAUGACGGCCUGCGGGUUGUAAACCGCUUUCGCCUGUGACGAAGCGUGAGUGACGGUAAUGGGUAAAGAAGCACCGGCUAACUACGUG
This 468-nucleotide ribosomal RNA is filed under the name uncultured bacterium. RNAcentral's name for it is "partial 16S ribosomal RNA". It matches the Rfam family "Bacterial small subunit ribosomal RNA", at positions 28 to 507 of the family's 1533-position model. The record is from RNAcentral.